This 468-nucleotide ribosomal RNA is filed under the name uncultured bacterium. RNAcentral describes it as "partial 16S ribosomal RNA". It matches the Rfam family "Bacterial small subunit ribosomal RNA", at positions 28 to 507 of the family's 1533-position model. The record is from RNAcentral.
GACGAACGCUGGCGGCGUGCUUAACACAUGCAAGUCGAACGGAAAGGCCCUGCUUUUGUGGGGUGCUCGAGUGGCGAACGGGUGAGUAACACGUGAGUAACCUGCCCUUGUCUUUGGGAUAACUUCAGGAAACUGGGGCUAAUACCGGAUAGGAGCUCCUGCUGCAUGGUGGGGGUUGGAAAGUUUCGGCGGUUGGGGAUGGACUCGCGGCUUAUCAGCUUGUUGGUGGGGUAGUGGCUUACCAAGGCUUUGACGGGUAGCCGGCCUGAGAGGGUGACCGGCCACAUGGGGACUGAGAUACGGCCCAGACUCCUACGGGAGGCAGCAGUGGGGAAUAUUGCACAAUGGGCGGAAGCCUGAUGCAGCAACGCCGCGUGCGGGAUGACGGCCUUCGGGUUGUAAACCGCUUUCGCCUGUGACGAAGCGUGAGUGACGGUAAUGGGUAAAGAAGCACCGGCUAACUACGUG